CCUACGGGGUGCAGCAGUGGGGAAUAUUGCACAAUGGGCGCAAGCCUGAUGCAGCCAUGCCGCGUGUAUGAAGAAGGCCUUCGGGUUGUAAAGUACUUUCAGCGGGGAGGAAGGCGUUGUGGUUAAUAACCACAGCGAUUGACGUUACCCGCAGAAGAAGCACCGGCUAACUCCGUGCCAGCAGCCGCGGUAAUACGGAGGGUGCAAGCGUUAAUCGGAAUUACUGGGCGUAAAGCGCACGCAGGCGGUCUGUCAAGUCGGAUGUGAAAUCCCCGGGCUCAACCUGGGAACUGCAUUCGAAACUGGCAGGCUAGAGUCUUGUAGAGGGGGGUAGAAUUCCAGGUGUAGCGGUGAAAUGCGUAGAGAUCUGGAGGAAUACCGGUGGCGAAGGCGGCCCCCUGGACAAAGACUGACGCUCAGGUGCGAAAGCGUGGGGAGCAAACAGGAUUAGAUACCCCUGUAGUC
RNAcentral lists this ribosomal RNA (465 nucleotides) under uncultured bacterium. RNAcentral describes it as "bacterial SSU rRNA". It matches the Rfam family "Bacterial small subunit ribosomal RNA", at positions 338 to 795 of the family's 1533-position model. The record is from RNAcentral.